AUUGAACGCUGGCGGCAUGCUUUACACAUGCAAGUCGAACGGCAGCACGGGAGCUUGCUCCUGGUGGCGAGUGGCGAACGGGUGAGUAAUGCAUCGGAACGUACCCAGUAGUGGGGGAUAGCCCGGCGAAAGCCGGAUUAAUACCGCAUAUUUCCUGAGGGAGAAAGCGGGGGGACCUUCGGGCCUCGCGCUACUGGAGCGGCUGAUGUCGGAUUAGCUAGUUGGUGAGGUAAAGGCUCACCAAGGCGACGAUCCGUAGCUGGUCUGAGAGGAUGAUCAGCCACACUGGGACUGAGACACGGCCCAGACUCCUACGGGAGGCAGCAGUGGGGAAUUUUGGACAAUGGGGGAAACCCUGAUCCAGCCAUGCCGCGUGAGUGAAGAAGGCCCUUGGUUGUAAGACUCUUUCUAGGUGGAAAGAAAGUACACUACCCCGAACUACGGGUGGUGGAGUGACGGUACCGAU
Molecule: ribosomal RNA, 466 nt
Filed under: uncultured bacterium
Lineage: Bacteria
Description: bacterial SSU rRNA
Rfam family: Bacterial small subunit ribosomal RNA
Source: RNAcentral